RNAcentral lists this small nucleolar RNA (67 nucleotides) under Meriones unguiculatus (Mongolian gerbil). Its description in RNAcentral is "Small nucleolar RNA SNORA17 (ENSMUGG00000021316.1)". It matches the Rfam family "Small nucleolar RNA SNORA17", at positions 63 to 129 of the family's 132-position model. Rfam says of the family: snoRNA ACA 17 belongs to the H/ACA family of snoRNAs and is predicted to guide pseudouridylation of the 28S rRNA at positions U4659 and U4598. Lineage: Eukaryota; Metazoa; Chordata; Mammalia; Rodentia; Muridae. The record is from RNAcentral.
GUGGAGAGAGGCUAUGUCUACUCCCAGUGUUCUGACCUACGAACAUUUGAAUGAUUAGUAGCUUAAC